This 45-nucleotide non-coding RNA is filed under the name Trichobilharzia regenti. The record is from RNAcentral. Lineage: Eukaryota; Metazoa; Platyhelminthes; Trematoda; Strigeidida; Schistosomatidae.
AUCCAAUUGACGAGUCCCAAAUAGGACGAAACGCGCAUCUUGGAU